CAACUCAUGAUUCCUUUGCUGUUUCUUUUUCUCUCCUCUAUCCAGUUGCAGAGUGGAGGAAGAGAGCAGCUUUAGUGGGUACCUGACAUCCAGCCAGGGUCAACCCACUACAGCAACCAUGAGGGCAAGCAGACAUUAACACCAGACCCUCUUUGGCACCUGUCCAGAGAGCAGAAACCGAAUCUGUGGGAAAUCCACCUUCCAAGUUGUUUUGGAGUCAUAACAUUUAGAAACCUAGACUGCUGCAGUCCUGGAUAGACUGACCAGGGUGCUCAUCAGCUGCAUCGCCGAUAUUGACAAUGACAAAUCCCUUCCACAGCUCAGGAGAACCUUAAAUAAAUUCUCCCAAGACACUAGCA
This 359-nucleotide long non-coding RNA is filed under the name Manacus vitellinus (golden-collared manakin). Its description in RNAcentral is "lncRNA (ENSMVIG00005017282.1)". Lineage: Eukaryota; Metazoa; Chordata; Aves; Passeriformes; Pipridae. The record is from RNAcentral.